This 440-nucleotide ribosomal RNA is filed under the name uncultured bacterium. RNAcentral describes it as "partial 16S ribosomal RNA". It matches the Rfam family "Bacterial small subunit ribosomal RNA", at positions 338 to 795 of the family's 1533-position model. The record is from RNAcentral.
CCUACGGGAGGCAGCAGUGGGGAAUAUUGCACAAUGGGGGGAACCCUGAUGCAGCAACGCCGCGUGGGUGAAGAAGUACUCCGGUAUGUAAAGCUCUAUCAGCAGGGAAGAAAAUGACGGUACCUGAGUAAGAAGCCCCGGCUAACUACGUGCCAGCAGCCGCGGUAAUACGUAGGGGGCAAGCGUUAUCCGGAUUUACUGGGUGUAAAGGGAGCGUAGACGGCAGUGCAAGUCUGGAGUGAAAGGCGGGGGCUCAACCCCCGGACUGCUCUGGAAACUGUACGGCUGGAGUGCAGGAGAGGUAAGUGGAAUUCCUAGUGUAGCGGUGAAAUGCGUAGAUAUUAGGAGGAACACCAGUGGCGAAGGCGGCUUACUGGACUGUAACUGACGUUGAGGCUCGAAAGCGUGGGGAGCAAACAGGAUUAGAUACCCGGGUAGUC